UACGUAGGUGGCAAGCGUUGUCCGGAUUUACUGGGCGUAAAGAGCGCGCAGGCGGUCGUUCAAGUCGCGUGUGAAAGCCCCCGGCUCAACUGGGGAGGGUCACGCGAUACUGGCAGACUAGAGUACUGCAGGGGAGACUGGAAUUCCUGGUGUAGCGGUGGAAUGCGCAGAUAUCAGGAGGAACACCAAUUGCGAAGGCAGCUCGCUGGGACGUUACUGACGCUGAGACGCGAAAGCGUGGGGAGCAAACAGG
RNAcentral lists this ribosomal RNA (253 nucleotides) under uncultured bacterium. RNAcentral describes it as "partial 16S ribosomal RNA". It matches the Rfam family "Bacterial small subunit ribosomal RNA", at positions 524 to 776 of the family's 1533-position model. The record is from RNAcentral.